This 630-nucleotide ribosomal RNA is filed under the name uncultured bacterium. Its description in RNAcentral is "bacterial SSU rRNA". It matches the Rfam family "Bacterial small subunit ribosomal RNA", at positions 233 to 863 of the family's 1533-position model. The record is from RNAcentral.
GCGUGCCAUUAGCUGGUUGGUAGGGUAACGGCUUACCAAGGCUACGAUGGCUAGGGGGUCUGGGAGGAUGAUCCCCCACACUGGUACUGAGACACGGACCAGACUCCUACGGGAGGCAGCAGUGAGGAAUAUUGGUCAAUGGGCGGAAGCCUGAACCAGCCAUGCCGCGUGCAGGACGACGGCCCUACGGGUUGUAAACUGCUUUUCCGGGGGAAGAAUAACCCCCCUGCGGGGGGGGAUGCCGGUACCCCGGGAAUAAGGAUCGGCUAACUCCGUGCCAGCAGCCGCGGUAAUACGGAGGAUCCUAGCGUUAUCCGGAUUUACUGGGUUUAAAGGGUGCGUAGGCGGGCGCUUAAGUCCGCGGUGAAAGUCUGCGGCUCAACCGUAGGAUUGCCGUGGAUACUGGGCGUCUUGGAUUCGGUCGGGGCGGGCGGAAUGCGUGGUGUAGCGGUGAAAUGCAUAGAUAUCACGCAGAACGCCGAUAGCGAAGGCAGCUCGCCGGGCCGGUAUCGACGCUGAGGCACGAAAGCGUGGGGAUCAAACAGGAUUAGAUACCCUGGUAGUCCACGCCGUAAACGAUGAUGGCUGGGUGUUGGCGAUACACCGUCAGCGCCUGAGGGAAACCAUUAA